GGACCUACGGGGGGCAGCAGUGGGGGAUAUUGCACAAUGGGGGAAACCCUGAUGCAGCGACGCCGCGUGAGUGAAGAAGUAUUUCGGUACGUAAAGCUCUAUCAGCAGGGAAGAAAAAUGACGGUACCUGACUAAGAAGCCCCGGCUAACUACGUGCCAGCAGCCGCGGUAAUACGUAGGGGGCAAGCGUUAUCCGGAUUUACUGGGUGUAAAGGGAGCGUAGACGGCUGUGCAAGUCUGAAGUGAAAUGCCGGGGCCCAACCCCGGAACUGCUUUGGAAACUGUACAGCUAGA
This 294-nucleotide ribosomal RNA is filed under the name uncultured bacterium. Its description in RNAcentral is "partial 16S ribosomal RNA". It matches the Rfam family "Bacterial small subunit ribosomal RNA", at positions 333 to 645 of the family's 1533-position model. The record is from RNAcentral.